RNAcentral lists this ribosomal RNA (429 nucleotides) under Acidobacteriota bacterium. Its description in RNAcentral is "Acidobacteria bacterium partial 16S ribosomal RNA". It matches the Rfam family "Bacterial small subunit ribosomal RNA", at positions 355 to 776 of the family's 1533-position model. Lineage: Bacteria; Pseudomonadati; Acidobacteriota. The record is from RNAcentral.
UGGGGAAUUUUGGCCAAUGGGGGAAACCCUGAUCCAGCCAUCCCGCGUGUGCGAUGAAGGCCUUCGGGUUGUAAAGCACUUUUGGCAGGAAAGAAACGUCAUGGGUUAAUACCCCGUGAAACUGACGGUACCUGCAGAAUAAGCACCGGCUAACUACGUGCCAGCAGCCGCGGUAAUACGUAGGGUGCACGCGUUAAUCGGAAUUACUGGGCGUAAAGCGUGCGCAGGCGGUUCGGAAAGAAAGAUGUGAAAUCCCAGAGCUCAACUUUGGAACUGCAUUUUUAACUACCGGACUAGAGUGUGUCAGAGGGAGGUGGAAUUCCGCGUGUAGCAGUGAAAUGCGUAGAUAUGCGGAGGAACACCGAUGGCGAAGGCAGCCUCCUGGGAUAACACUGACGCUCAUGCACGAAAGCGUGGGGAGCAAACAGG